RNAcentral lists this long non-coding RNA (454 nucleotides) under Homo sapiens (human). RNAcentral describes it as "PAXIP1 antisense RNA 2". Lineage: Eukaryota; Metazoa; Chordata; Mammalia; Primates; Hominidae. The record is from RNAcentral.
AAGACAGAGUUUCGCUCUUGUUGCCCAGGCUGUAGUGCAAUGGCGCGAUAUUGGCUCACUGCAACCCCUGCCUCCCAGGUUCAAGUGAUUCUCCUGCCUCACCAAGUAGCUGUGAUUACAGGAUAUGAUUCAUAGUCCAGCGUUUGAGUGAGCACUCCAGUCAGAACGAACUCUGCAUUGUGAACAUCUGAACAGGGUGGAAACAGACACUUUAGUUAGAGAUCCACUGCUGUGCGUGCACACAUACUCACACAGGGCAAUGACGGACUCGCUGGCGGACUCCACUCUACCCACCGAGUUCUGCUUGUGCUCCAUGAGCUUCCGGAAAGAUGGCUGCUUGGAUAACACCUUUCCUCCUGCACACUCUACGAUUGCCUUCAUAGUGGAAAGACUUGGGCAGAUUCCAGGUGUGAUGUAAAAAUAUUUUGCCUAAAAUUAAAUGAAAAUAUAUGUA